GUGCCAGCCGCUGCGGUAAUACGGAGGGUGCAAGCGUUUAAUCGGAAUUACUGGGCGUAAAGCGCACGCAGGCGGUCUGUCAAGUCGGAUGUGAAAUCCCCGGGCUCAACCUGGGAACUGCAUUCGAAACUGGCAGGCUAGAGUCUUGUAGAGGGGGUAGAAUUCCAGGUGUAGCGGUGAAAUGCGUAGAGAUCUGGAGGAA
This 202-nucleotide ribosomal RNA is filed under the name uncultured Enterobacter sp. Its description in RNAcentral is "partial 16S ribosomal RNA". It matches the Rfam family "Bacterial small subunit ribosomal RNA", at positions 505 to 706 of the family's 1533-position model. Lineage: Bacteria; Pseudomonadati; Pseudomonadota; Gammaproteobacteria; Enterobacterales; Enterobacteriaceae. The record is from RNAcentral.